RNAcentral lists this long non-coding RNA (734 nucleotides) under Mus musculus (house mouse). Its description in RNAcentral is "predicted gene 16133". The record is from RNAcentral. Lineage: Eukaryota; Metazoa; Chordata; Mammalia; Rodentia; Muridae.
AGAACAAUUCUGUUCUAUGUAGGAAUGCACCUCCUAACAACAAAAUCUGAAGACCCCCACCACAGCCACACACCCGCAGGCACAGACACAGAGCUGAAUGUGCACUGAAGGAAAAUCAGACCAGAACUUGAUGCAGGCAGCCAGGCAGCCUCAGCACCUUCCUGAGCCUAGCCAAUGACCAGGGCAGAUACAUGCUCUCCCAUUUUCCUGGCACUGAGUGGAGACAUCGUUACCCUGCACUACUAUGGGAGCUUGCCUCCACUAGGCACCCCAGGGUCCAAGAGGCACCGGCAGCACUGAAGAGGCUACUGAGGCCUGGAAGACAGCAGCACUGCACCUGUAAUGCUGUGCUAUUAGCCACACUAUAAUCCUUAACCUUACAUAACCUCACUAACCCCAUGGGAGGCAGACACUCUGACCUGCCAGGCCCUGACCUCUGCCUGGAAGCCUAGCCACUGGUGCCAAGACUCUAGAAGGACUCUUAGGCUCUUCAAAGAAGUUGGGGCCUCUGUAUGCAGGAGCUUCACCAAGAAGAAAACUUAGACAAGUCUUCAUUGGUUUUGUUGCUUUAAGCAUUUUUCGGCACUUGUUUGUUUCUGUUGAAUACUUUCUCCUCAUGAAGAGUUGUAAGUUCGCUUUCUAAGUUUGUACUCACUGGUUUCUUCUCUCCCUUGUCUGCAAGAUCUUCAAUUUUAAGCAUCUGUUCCUUGAAAUGAAAACAGUAUUUUUAAAAA